CAAGACAACUUUACGGAGUUGACGAUUGACGGAGCGAAGCGACGUCAAAGCGUUCAUUAAAGUCGAGUUGGCUUAGGGAUACGUUCGUUGGGUAGGGGAGCGUUCUGUAAGCCUGUGAAGGUGUGUCGUGAGGCAUGCUGGAGGUAUCAGAAGUGCGAAUGCUGACAUAAGUAACGAUAAAGCGGGUGAAAAGCCCGCUCGCCGGAAGACCAAGGGUUCCUGUCCAACGUUAAUCGGGGCAGGGUGAGUCGACCCCUAAGGCGAGGCCGAAAGGCGUAGUCGAUGGGAAACGGGUUAAUAUUCCCGUACUUGGUGUUACUGCGAAGGGGGGACGGAGAAGGCUAUGUUGGCCGGGCGACGGUUGUCCCGGUUUAAGCGUGUAGGUGUGUGUUCCAGGUAAAUCCGGUUCACUUUAACACUGAGGCGUGACGACGAGGCACUACGGUGCUGAAGCAACAAAUGCCCUGCUUCCAGGAAAAGCCUCUAAGCAUCAGGUAACACGAAAUCGUACCCCAAACCGACACAGGUGGUCAGGUAGAGAAUACCAAGGCGCUUGAGAGAACUCGGGUGAAGGAACUAGGCAAAAUGGUGCCGUAACUUCGGGAGAAGGCACGCUGACACGUAGGUGAAGUGAUUUACUCAUGGAGCUGAAGUCAGUCGAAGAUACCAGCUGGCUGCAACUGUUUAUUAAAAACACAGCACUGUGCAAACACGAAAGUGGACGUAUACGGUGUGACGCCUGCCCGGUGCCGGAAGGUUAAUUGAUGGGGUCAGCGCAAGCGAAGCUCCUGAUCGAAGCCCCGGUAAACGGCGGCCGUAACUAUAACGGUCCUAAGGUAGCGAAAUUCCUUGUCGGGUAAGUUCCGACCUGCACGAAUGGCGUAAUGAUGGCCAGGCUGUCUCCACCCGAGACUCAGUGAAAUUGAACUCGCUGUGAAGAUGCAGUGUACCCGCGGCAAGACGGAAAGACCCCGUGAACCUUUACUAUAGCUUGACACUGAACAUUGAGCCUUGAUGUGUAGGAUAGGUGGGAGGCUUUGAAGUGUGGACGCCAGUCUGCAUGGAGCCGACCUUGAAAUACCACCCUUUAAUGUUUGAUGUUCUAACGUGGACCCGUAAUCCGGGUUGCGGACAGUGUCUGGUGGGUAGUUUGACUGGGGCGGUCUCCUCCUAAAGAGUAACGGAGGAGCACGAAGGUUGGCUAAUCCUGGUCGGACAUCAGGAGGUUAGUGCAAUGGCAUAAGCCAGCUUGACUGCGAGCGUGACGGCGCGAGCAGGUGCGAAAGCAGGUCAUAGUGAUCCGGUGGUUCUGAAUGGAAGGGCCAUCGCUCAACGGAUAAAAGGUACUCCGGGGAUAACAGGCUGAUACCGCCCAAGAGUUCAUAUCGACGGCGGUGUUUGGCACCUCGAUGUCGGCUCAUCACAUCCUGGGGCUGAAGUAGGUCCCAAGGGUAUGGCUGUUCGCCAUUUAAAGUGGUACGCGAGCUGGGUUUAGAACGUCGUGAGACAGUUCGGUCCCUAUCUGCCGUGGGCGCUGGAGAACUGAGGGGGGCUGCUCCUAGUACGAGAGGACCGGAGUGGACGCAUCACUGGUGUUCGGGUUGUCAUGCCAAUGGCACUGCCCGGUAGCUAAAUGCGGAAGAGAUAAGUGCUGAAAGCAUCUAAGCACGAAACUUGCCCCGAGAUGAGUUCUCCCUGAGACUUAGAGUCUCCUGAAGGAACGUUGAAGACGACGACGUUGAUAGGCCGGGUGUGUAAGCGCAGCGAUGCGUUGAGCUAACCGGUACUAAUGAACCGUGAGGCUUAACCUUACAACGCCGAAG
Molecule: ribosomal RNA, 1823 nt
Filed under: Salmonella enterica
Lineage: Bacteria; Pseudomonadati; Pseudomonadota; Gammaproteobacteria; Enterobacterales; Enterobacteriaceae
Also listed under: 2 other names
Description: partial 23S ribosomal RNA
Rfam family: Bacterial large subunit ribosomal RNA
Source: RNAcentral